CAGUAGCCGCGGGAAUACAGAGGGUGCGAGCGUUAAUCGGAUUUACUGGGCGUAAAGCGUGCGUAGGCGGCUUCUUAAGUCGGAUGUGAAAUCCCUGAGCUUAACUUAGGAAUUGCAUUCGAUACUGGGAAGCUAGAGUAUGGGAGAGGAUGGUAGAAUUCCUGGUGUAGCGGUGAAAUGCGUAGAGAUCUGGAGGAAUACCGAUGGCGAAGGCAGCCAUCUGGCCUAAUACUGACGCUGAGGUACGAAAGCAUGGGGAGCAAACAGGAUUAGAUACCCCAGUAGUCCCUGUCUCUUAUAA
RNAcentral lists this ribosomal RNA (301 nucleotides) under uncultured bacterium. RNAcentral describes it as "partial 16S ribosomal RNA". It matches the Rfam family "Bacterial small subunit ribosomal RNA", at positions 509 to 809 of the family's 1533-position model. The record is from RNAcentral.